GACAGAGAGAGAGAGACAGAGAGACAGAGAGAGAGAGAGAGAGAGAGAGAGAGAGAGACCUCCGGUUCACAGCGCGUGGAGGUCUGCGGGAGCUCCAGGACCAGGAACCAUCUCUAGCUGCGCCUGGCAUGUGUUCCACCUGCCGCUAUCACAAGAGGCUGCAGGGCUUUCACCACAACUGAAUGAUGUGCUGUCCUGACGUCUCUCUCAAAGCCAGGGGGACUGACGUGGCGUCAGAGAUUCUCUCUGGAUCAGCCCCUGAGAGCUGUAGAAUCCACCCAGGAAGAUGCAUGGCCUCAGGAGGGCCUCAGGAGGGCCUCAGGGGGAGCAGCUCUAGACAGCUCUGAUUUCUGGUGGGGCGGGACAGCUGGUGUUGUGAAUCAGGCCGCUAUAGUGCCAGGCACGGCUUCUUCCCAACACCAGGGUCACACCCCACUGUCCGCAGCACCGGAGCCCAUCCAGCUCCCUCGCCGGCAGCAAGGCACAGUAUCAGAUCACAGGAGGACAGAUCAAAAUGCAUGCCGAGACUGGUGGAGGAUGAGUGUCUUUCAAACAGACUAGUCGAGGCUAAUUAAAAAUAAACUCAUUAUCUCACUGUGUGUCUGGGGCAUAACAGGAGCAUUUGAGCAUGGGUCAGAAACAUAACCACCAUUGUUAAAUUCUCAAUUGUGAUUAAAGUAGAGUUGUAUUGUACUGACUUGACCUAUGGCUGCUUCUGCAUGUCUGCACGCUAGGACUAUUAUUCAACAUCAAUGAACUAUCAGAGCAUAAGACAGUAAAACUAGAGAGAGGACAGUGCCUCUCUAAACAAGUGUGAUGGGAAUAGCAUUAAUUUAAUAAUAAAUCAUAGUGGAAUGUGUUACUGUUGAUAUAAAAGCAUGACAAAUGAAAGGCUGGGUGUAUUCCAUUGUCUGGGAUGAAAUUGAAAAUGGAUUUUGAUGUUAGUCUCAGUCUUAGUAUCGGUAUGGUUUGGUGGCUUCACUGUGUGCUGCUUUUAUUUCGUAAUUAACUUAUCAAAGGAUUUUUUAUUUUGUUAUUCGUUACAGAACGAAUUGUAUGUUUUCAGUGUGUGGUGGUAGCUUGUGAAAGUGUUUAAUACAAUUGUAAAUUCGUUUUUGUAUCAUUAUUUCAAUAAUAAAGUAGGAUACAU
Long non-coding RNA from Coregonus clupeaformis (lake whitefish), 1150 nucleotides. RefSeq lists it as uncharacterized. The transcript has 3 exons. NCBI's taxonomy places the organism in Eukaryota, Metazoa, Chordata, Actinopteri, Salmoniformes, Salmonidae. The record is from RefSeq and is a predicted model, not a curated record.